Molecule: ribosomal RNA, 392 nt
Filed under: uncultured bacterium
Lineage: Bacteria
Description: partial 16S ribosomal RNA
Rfam family: Bacterial small subunit ribosomal RNA
Source: RNAcentral
AUACGGAGGAUCCAAGCGUUAUCCGGAUUUAUUGGGUUUAAAGGGUGCGCAGGCGGCCAUUUAAGUCAGCGGUUAAAUCUUGGGGCUCAACCCCAUUCUGCCGUUGAUACUGGGUGGCUUGAUUGCGGUCGAGGUUGGCGGAAUUCGUUGUGUAGCGGUGAAAUGCAUAGAUAUGACGAAGAACACCGAUUGCGUAGGCAGCUGACCAGACCGCAAAUGACGCUCAUGCACGAAAGUGCGGGGAUCGAACAGGAUUAGAUACCCUGGUAGUCCGCACAGUAAACGAUGAAUACUUGUUUUCGGCGAUAUAAUGUCGGAGGCAAAGCGAAAGCGAUAAGUAUUCCACCUGGGGAGUACGCCGGCAACGGUGAAACUUAAAGGAAUUGACGGGG